Molecule: long non-coding RNA, 3397 nt
Organism: Lagopus muta (rock ptarmigan)
Lineage: Eukaryota; Metazoa; Chordata; Aves; Galliformes; Phasianidae
Exons: 3
Source: RefSeq, a predicted model, not a curated record
CUCUGAUGAAAACUUACUUUAAUUGUUCCAUGACUGCUGACGUGUUUAAUUAAAGGCUUACAUGGCUACAUCUUUGGUGACAAAAUGUGAGGCGAUCACAAGGAUAAAUAAGUAUUUCAGUAUCAGAGCUGAGGCAUCUAGAGAGGACAAACCUGCCUCGGGUCAGCUCAGAGGUGACACAGAAGAGUAUUCAAAACAUGUUUGUCAAAAAGGUAAGCCUCACCAAAGUUUGUUUUCAACUUGAACAGUCUGUUGCUCCAAGAACUAUUUGAGACUACUCUCAAUGAAGAACAGAGAUGGAGGGAAAGGUUGAUUUUUUUUUUUCUAUGAAUUUUUCAUAUGUACAUAUUUUUGCAAUGCUUUUUAAGAAAGGAUACUUCCACUGAUUGUUUGGGUCAACAAGGAAUAAAAAAUAUGGAUUUAAAGAAUGAACGGCACAAACCUGAGUACUCAUCACUGCUUUUAAUCCCAUUGGAACAGAGUGACUCUCGAGCCGUGCCUUGGGUGCUGUUAUGACAGCAGGCAGUGAGUGCCCAAAUCCUGCACUGAUGCUAUGGCCCCAGAUGAAGAUCUCACCCAAUGACCCCAACCUGCUCCCACAUGCUCUGACUCACAGGCAGCCAGUUCCACACAUACAUACAAAAGGGCUUUGCCAGUUGUGCCAUGGUGCAAAACAAGGGAAAUCUCCCUCUUUGCCCGUUAUAAUGACUUGUGUGUUUCCAGCCUAUUCUACCUCACAGCACAGCGUAUGUGCAACAAUGCUUAAUUACAAAGAGGCCACGAUGAAACCAGAGGAGCCCAGUAACCAUGGAGAUCAGUGAUCAAUAAUAUAAUACUAUUUGUUUAUAAAUUAUCCAUAGUCCCUAUAUCCUUCUGUAAAAGGCAAGUGAGAUCCAGGCAACAUGUUCAAUUUAUAAUUAUUGCCUAAAAUAAAAUGUGAUUCUGUGGGUGAACACCUGCCCAUUAAUAACAUUAUUUUCAGAUUGUUCGAUAUGAUAUGGAUCGGUGGAGAUAACUGUGUUUGGAGGAGAAAUAUAAAGCUGCUCAAUAAAGUGGUGGCUGUAAAGAUUCAUCUGAAGGCUGUGAUGUGGAAAGUACUGCUUUCAACCAGAAGUCUCAGUAGAUACAACUGGGCUGUGUUACAUUUGUGGUGCGAAUGGGGAAUGACCUAAAAGCGUAUACACCAAGCACAAAACACAAACCAUGCUCCCAGUUCCUUUUCCAGGAACAAAACCCUCAUCGUGAAACUCUAAAGGUGGCAACUGUUAUGUGAAGGCUGUCUCAGACAAUGAGUAACACGACUCUGGAGGAGCUUUCAAAUCUUUUAGCUGCUUUUCCUUUUGGAUAAAUUAAGAUAAGUUCUGAGUUUUUUUUAUUCCCCCCCCUGCUUUUAUAUAAACAACUUGUUAGUUCUACUCAGUAGUUUCCAUUGGGAAAGCCAAUAGUCAUCAAAAUUUGAAGUUCUCCGUGCUUUACUGUUCUGGUAUAUUGGGGUGAUAAAACAAAAUGAUUUUCAUCUCAUUACUACCUAUUUCAAUGUUUCUGUGGUAUUUCCACAUUUUUAAUAUUUCUAGUUUCUUUUCAAAACCACUUUGUUAAAAAAUGGAUAUGAAAUGUGGAAAUGAUUUUUUUUAUAUUAUUCAACAAUGUUAUGUAAUGCAAACCCAUCAAUGACCUGCUUUGUGUUUCACUCCAUGAUGAGCUUUUUUUUCCUUUCAGCUGGGAAUGAUACUUUAAGAAAUCUUCCACAGAAUAUGAAAUCCGCCUCCCCAGCAGUAUGAAAGGCACAGCGUGGGGAAACAGGAGCCAUUUCACCACAAUCUACUGUAGUAUUUUAGUCAAUGUAGAGAAUGAACAAAUAUAAGGGACGGAAUGAUAUUCCAGAACAAAAAUAUAGUUAUGUGAUCAGCACUGAGAGGAUGAGAAUUAACUGAUUACAACGAAUCCCUCUUUUGUAAUGACUACGUAAUAUUUAUGUAAUUGUCAUAACAAAUCCCAUUUUUAUGGCUCCUCACAAGUGAAGUGAAAGCACUCCCACUGCUGCUGAGUGUGAGCUUUGGGGACACCCAGGGAUGCAGGGUUCUGGUGGACGAAAGUCUGGACAUGAACCAGAUGUAUGUACUUGCAGCCUGGAAGGCAAAUGGUACCCUGGGCUGCAUCAGUGGAAGGGUGGCCAGCAGGGAGAGGGAGGUGACUGUGUCCCUCUACUCUGCUCUUGUGAGGCCCCAUCUGCAGUACUCAGUCCAGUCCUGGGGCCCCAGGGAUAUCUCAUCGCAGUCUUCCAGUACUUGAAGGGAGUUUAUAAACUUAGACAGAUGAUAGUGAUAGCACAAGGGGGAAUGGAUUUAAACUGAAAGAGGGAAGGUUUAGGUUAGCUGUUAGAAAGAAAUUCUGCACUCAGAGGGUGGUGAGACACAUGAGCAGGCUGCUCAGAGAAAUUGUGGAUGCCCCAUCACUGGAGGCAUUCAAGGCCAGGCUUGAUGGGUUCCUGGGCAGUCUGAUCAGGUGGUUGGCAACCCGGCCCAAAACAGGGGCAUUGGAACUAGAUGAUCUUUGAGGUCCCUUUCAACCCAAGCCAUUCUAUGGUUCUGUGAUUCUGUGCCCAAGAUCCCCUCACAUCGGCUCAUAGUGCCGCCCUGCUGGGGCUAUCAGCACCAUGGGGCUUCAGCAUCCUAACCAGAUGGAUGGUUGAACCACGCAGAAAAAGGCCCAGAAAACAACACAAUGAAUGUCUGCUCAGCAGAGGAGAGAAAAGGUGAGACACUGUUGCCUAAAAAUAGAGAUGAGCUACAGCUGUAGGGCGAGCCCUGUUGAUGAGAGCACACCAGUCGCACUCAGGCUGCUUGGCAGGCGUCAGGCACACACACAGCUUGUUGUUAAGCAGCAUGGAAAGCAAUCACGAAUGAAUAGACUUUCUCCCUGUCCAUUUUUAGUCCUACUGCAAAGAAGAGGUCACCAGAAUUCCUUUUCCCUGAGCUUCAGUUUUGGAAAUAGCUGAGCUGCUAAGAAUUGGAGGAGAAAAAAAAAAUAAAGAAACAAAAGAAGGAAGGAAAAUAAGAAAGGUAGGCAAGUGUAGACAAAAGAUGUGAACUGUGUUUAGACAUGUCUCCUUACCAAGAAGGAUCACUGCUCUUGACCAGAUUUUGUCAGUUCUUUCAUUAUGAUGAUUUUCUCCACAUUCAGCACUUAAAAUCCAUCACUGGGAGAGGGAUGAAGAUGGAGAGCAAAGGGAAGGCAGCAAUGAAAACAAUAAACCAUUUGGUUCCUGCUGGAGAACAUACCUGUGUAUAAGGGAUGGACUAUCUGGUAAUGGAGUUAUUGACAGCAGAUACGGCAAAAUGACAGGAUUGGAGUCAGCAUAGCCACAUGAAGUAUCUGAUAUCUGAAUUGAAAGGAC